GGCGGUGUGACACUGCCGGCACCGUUGUAGAGCGCAGCCCGGAAAAGGCUGGCGGCGGUUCGAUUCCGUCCCUCGCUACCA
This 81-nucleotide transfer RNA is filed under the name Candidatus Sulfopaludibacter sp. SbA6. Its description in RNAcentral is "tRNA-Phe". The record is from RNAcentral. Lineage: Bacteria; Pseudomonadati; Acidobacteriota; Terriglobia; Bryobacterales; Solibacteraceae.